This 375-nucleotide ribosomal RNA is filed under the name uncultured bacterium. RNAcentral's name for it is "bacterial SSU rRNA". It matches the Rfam family "Bacterial small subunit ribosomal RNA", at positions 521 to 896 of the family's 1533-position model. The record is from RNAcentral.
UAAUACGGAGAGUGCAAACGUUGUUCGGAUUCACUGGGCGUAAAGGGCACGUAGGCGGCUCGGCAAAUCGGUCGUGGAAUCCCGACGCUUACCGUCGGAACGGCGGCCGAAAAUACCGGGCUCGAGGGCGUGAGGGGUCACUGGAACUCCUGGUGAAGCGGUGAAAUGCGUAGAUAUCAGGAGGAACGCCGGAGGCGAAAGCGAGUGACUGGCGCGUUCCUGACGCUGAGGUGCGAAAGCUAGGGGAGCAAACAGGAUUAGAUACCCUGGUAGUCCUAGCCGUAAACGAUGGACACUGAGUGGAGGAGGGCUUGCCUUUCUCUGCUGCAGCUAACGCGUUAAGUGUCCCGCCUGGGGAGUACGGCCGCAAGGUUA